AUUGAACGCUGGCGGCAUGCCUUACACAUGCAAGUCGAACGGCAGCGGACCUUCGGGUGCCGGCGAGUGGCGAACGGGUGAGUAAUAUAUCGGAACGUACCUUUCAGUGGGGAUAACGUAGCGAAAGUUACGCUAAUACCGCAUAUUCUGUGAGCAGGAAAGCAGGGGAUCGCAAGACCUUGCGCUGAUUGAGCGGCCGAUAUCAGAUUAGCUAGUUGGUGAGGUAAAGGCUCACCAAGGCGACGAUCUGUAGCGGGUCUGAGAGGAUGAUCCGCCACACUGGAACUGAGACACGGUCCAGACUCCUACGGGAGGCAGCAGUGGGGAAUUUUGGACAAUGGGCGCAAGCCUGAUCCAGCCAUGCCGCGUGAGUGAAGAAGGCCUUCGGGUUGUAAAGCUCUUUCGGCCGGGAAGAAAUCGCACAGGUUAAUACCCUGUGUGGAUGACGGUACCGGAAUAAGAAGCACCGACUAACUACGUG
This 481-nucleotide ribosomal RNA is filed under the name uncultured bacterium. RNAcentral's name for it is "bacterial SSU rRNA". It matches the Rfam family "Bacterial small subunit ribosomal RNA", at positions 30 to 507 of the family's 1533-position model. The record is from RNAcentral.